UUGAGUGUAGCUCAGUGGUAGAGCAUAUGAUUAGUGUGUACAAGGCCCUGAGUUCAAUACCUAGCACACAUG
This 72-nucleotide transfer RNA is filed under the name Heterocephalus glaber (naked mole-rat). It matches the Rfam family "tRNA". Rfam says of the family: Transfer RNA (tRNA) molecules are approximately 80 nucleotides in length. Their secondary structure includes four short double-helical elements and three loops (D, anti-codon, and T loops). The record is from Rfam by way of RNAcentral. Lineage: Eukaryota; Metazoa; Chordata; Mammalia; Rodentia; Bathyergidae.